This 1405-nucleotide ribosomal RNA is filed under the name uncultured bacterium. Its description in RNAcentral is "bacterial SSU rRNA". It matches the Rfam family "Bacterial small subunit ribosomal RNA". The record is from RNAcentral.
AGAGUUUGAUCCUGGCUCAGGAUGAACGCUGGCGGCGUGCCUAAUACAUGCAAGUCGAGCGAACGGACGAGAAGCUUGCUUCUCUGAUGUUAGCGGCGGACGGGUGAGUAACACGUGGAUAACCUACCUAUAAGACUGGGAUAACUUCGGGAAACCGGAGCUAAUACCGGAUAAUAUUUUGAACCGCAUGGUUCAAAAGUGAAAGACGGUCUUGCUGUCACUUAUAGAUGGAUCCGCGCUGCAUUAGCUAGUUGGUAAGGUAACGGCUUACCAAGGCAACGAUGCAUAGCCGACCUGAGAGGGUGAUCGGUCACACUGGAACUGAGACACGGUCCAGACUCCUACGGGAGGCAGCAGUAGGGAAUCUUCCGCAAUGGGCGAAAGCCUGACGGAGCAACGCCGCGUGAGUGAUGAAGGUCUUCGGAUCGUAAAACUCUGUUAUUAGGGAAGAACAUAUGUGUAAGUAACUGUGCACAUCUUGACGGUACCUAAUCAGAAAGCCACGGCUAACUACGUGCCAGCAGCCGCGGUAAUACGUAGGUGGCAAGCGUUAUCCGGAAUUAUUGGGCGUAAAGCGCGCGUAGGCGGUUUUUUAAGUCUGAUGUGAAAGCCCACGGCUCAACCGUGGAGGGUCAUUGGAAACUGGAAAACUUGAGUGCAGAAGAGGAAAGUGGAAUUCCAUGUGUAGCGGUGAAAUGCGCAGAGAUAUGGAGGAACACCAGUGGCGAAGGCGACUUUCUGGUCUGUAACUGACGCUGAUGUGCGAAAGCGUGGGGAUCAAACAGGAUUAGAUACCCUGGUAGUCCACGCCGUAAACGAUGAGUGCUAAGUGUUAGGGGGUUUCCGCCCCUUAGUGCUGCAGCUAACGCAUUAAGCACUCCGCCUGGGGAGUACGACCGCAAGGUUGAAACUCAAAGGAAUUGACGGGGACCCGCACAAGCGGUGGAGCAUGUGGUUUAAUUCGAAGCAACGCGAAGAACCUUACCAAAUCUUGACAUCCUUUGACAACUCUAGAGAUAGAGCCUUCCCCUUCGGGGGACAAAGUGACAGGUGGUGCAUGGUUGUCGUCAGCUCGUGUCGUGAGAUGUUGGGUUAAGUCCCGCAACGAGCGCAACCCUUAAGCUUAGUUGCCAUCAUUAAGUUGGGCACUCUAAGUUGACUGCCGGUGACAAACCGGAGGAAGGUGGGGAUGACGUCAAAUCAUCAUGCCCCUUAUGAUUUGGGCUACACACGUGCUACAAUGGACAAUACAAAGGGCAGCGAAACCGCGAGGUCAAGCAAAUCCCAUAAAGUUGUUCUCAGUUCGGAUUGUAGUCUGCAACUCGACUACAUGAAGCUGGAAUCGCUAGUAAUCGUAGAUCAGCAUGCUACGGUGAAUACGUUCCCGGGUCUUGUACACACCGCC